GGACGGGUGAGUAACACGUGGGAACGUGCCUUUAGGUUCGGAAUAACUCAGGGAAACUUGUGCUAAUACCGAAUGUGCCCUUCGGGGGAAAGAUUUAUCGCCUUUAGAGCGGCCCGCGUCUGAUUAGCUAGUUGGUGAGGUAAAGGCUCACCAAGGCGACGAUCAGUAGCUGGUCUGAGAGGAUGAUCAGCCACAUUGGGACUGAGACACGGCCCAAACUCCUACGGGAGGCAGCAGUGGGGAAUCUUGCGCAAUGGGCGAAAGCCUGACGCAGCCAUGCCGCGUGAAUGAUGAAGGUCUUAGGAUUGUAAAAUUCUUUCACCGGGGACGAUAAUGACGGUACCCGGAGAAGAAGCCCCGGCUAACUUCGUGCCAGCAGCCGCGGUAAUACGAAGGGGGCUAGCGUUGCUCGGAAUUACUGGGCGUAAAGGGAGCGUAGGCGGACAUUUAAGUCAGGGGUGAAAUCCCGGGGCUCAACCUCGGAAUUGCCUUUGAUACUGGGUGUCUUGAGUAUGAGAGAGGUGUGUGGAACUCCGAGUGUAGAGGUGAAAUUCGUAGAUAUUCGGAAGAACACCAGUGGCGAAGGCGACACACUGGCUCAUUACUGACGCUGAGGNUCGAAAGCGUGG
This 629-nucleotide ribosomal RNA is filed under the name Brevundimonas vesicularis. RNAcentral's name for it is "bacterial SSU rRNA". It matches the Rfam family "Bacterial small subunit ribosomal RNA", at positions 100 to 764 of the family's 1533-position model. The record is from RNAcentral. Lineage: Bacteria; Pseudomonadati; Pseudomonadota; Alphaproteobacteria; Caulobacterales; Caulobacteraceae.